RNAcentral lists this ribosomal RNA (182 nucleotides) under uncultured bacterium. Its description in RNAcentral is "partial 16S ribosomal RNA". It matches the Rfam family "Bacterial small subunit ribosomal RNA", at positions 1318 to 1500 of the family's 1533-position model. The record is from RNAcentral.
GCAUGAAGUCGGAAUUGCUAGUAAUCGCGGAUCAGCAUGCCGCGGUGAAUACGUUCUCGGGCCUUGUACACACCGCCCGUCACACCAUGAGAGUUGGGGAUACCCGAAGCCUAUGAGCUAACUUUUAGAGGCAGUAGUCGAAGGUAGAAUCAAUGAUUGGGGUGAAGUCGUAACAAGGUACC